RNAcentral lists this unclassified non-coding RNA (501 nucleotides) under uncultured Glomus. Its description in RNAcentral is "SSU rRNA". It matches the Rfam family "Eukaryotic small subunit ribosomal RNA", at positions 569 to 1074 of the family's 1831-position model. The record is from RNAcentral. Lineage: Eukaryota; Fungi; Glomeromycota; Glomeromycetes; Glomerales; Glomeraceae.
AGCAGCCGCGGUAAUUCCAGCUCCAAUAGCGUAUAUUAAAGUUGUUGCAGUUAAAAAGCUCGUAGUUGAAUUUCGGGAUCAAUAUAUCGGUCGUGCCUUAGUACGUACUGGUAUCAUUGGUUUCUCCUUUCUGACGAACCAUGAUGUCAUUAAUUUGGUGUUAUGGGAAGUUAGGACUGUUACUUUGAAAAAUUAGAGUGUUUAAAGCAAGCUAACGCUUGAAUACAUUAGCAUGGAAUAAUGAAAUAGGACGUUCGAUCCUAUUUUGUUGGUUCAUAGGAUUGACGUAAUGAUUAAUAGGGAUAGUUGGGGGCAUUAGUAUUCAAUUGUCAGAGGUGAAAUUCUUGGAUUUAUUGAAGACUAACUACUGCGAAAGCAUUUGCCAAGGAUGUUUUCAUUAAUCAAGAACGAAAGUUAGGGGAUCGAAGACGAUCAGAUACCGUCGUAGUCUUAACCAUAAACUAUGCCGACUAGGGAUCGGAUGAUGUUAAUUUUUAAUGA